AGGGUUAGGACCAACUGCAAGUU
RNAcentral lists this non-coding RNA (23 nucleotides) under Cricetulus griseus (Chinese hamster). The record is from RNAcentral. Lineage: Eukaryota; Metazoa; Chordata; Mammalia; Rodentia; Cricetidae.